AUGAACGCUGGCGGCGUGCCUAAUACCUGCAAGUCGAGCGAACGGACGAGAAGCUUGCUUCUCUGAUGUUAGCGGCGGACGGGUGAGUAACACGUGGAUAACCUACCUAUAAGACUGGGAUAACUUCGGGAAACCGUAGCUAAUACCGGAUAAUAUUUUGAACCGCAUGGUUCAAAAGUGAAAGACGGUCUUGCUGUCACUUAUAGAUGGAUCCGCGCUGCAUUAGCUAGUUGGUAAGGUAACGGCUUACCAAGGCAACGAUGCAUAGCCGACCUGAGAGGGUGAUCGGCCACACUGGAACUGAGACGCGGUCCAGACUCCUACGGGAGGCAGCAGUAGGGAAUCUUCCGCAAUGGGCGAAAGCCUGACGGAGCAACGCCGCGUGAGUGAUGAAGGUCUUCGGAUCGUAAAACUCUGUUAUUAGGGAAGAACAUAUGUGUAAGUAACUGUGCACAUCUUGACGGUACCUAAUCAGAAAGCCACGGCUAACUACGUG
This 496-nucleotide ribosomal RNA is filed under the name uncultured bacterium. RNAcentral describes it as "partial 16S ribosomal RNA". It matches the Rfam family "Bacterial small subunit ribosomal RNA", at positions 29 to 507 of the family's 1533-position model. The record is from RNAcentral.